GCCGAGGCGGCCGGGGGGACAGGUACAGGUGCCCGUCUCCUGUGCGCAGGGCUACGCCGACGUCCCAGCCCGCCUCCUCCAGCGGGAGGGAAACAAAGACGGCGAGAGAGGCAGGGAGAGUUGCCUGUAAGUUUAGCGCCUUUCAGUCGUGACUCGCGGAGAUAAAUGAUAGUUUGGAGGUGCGCGCAGUUAAUCACCGCCACGGCUGCCGUACAGCGUGUGCAACCCGCAGAUCAUUAGGUUAAAUGGAGGACAUUCGUGUCCUUCCAGAAUCAAUGCAAUUAUUGUUGGCAACAAGGACAACAAUUGAAGUGGCAGCACUAAUUUUACUAACCUGCUAUUAAUUAUGGUGUCCCCCACGCCCCAGACGGCGUUUAUAACCCGCGGAAGCAAGCGGCGCUGGCUGCUUCUGUUUUAAAACGGGAAAAGUUGGAAGUGGAAUGCCUGGUCGUGUUGGAAAGUGUUAAUCAGUAGGAAAGAGUGUGAUCAGUGGAACUAUUCACUUGAGCGUCACUCUGGUACAGGGGGUUAGUGAAGUGGCUGUGGCGCCUGGGGACCGAAGGCUCCGUGCCGCGCCGCGCAGGUACCGCGCACUGAGACAUGUCUGCGUUAGCUCCCCGCAGCUCCCUGCCACGCCAGCCAGCGCACACCAGAGGAGAGAAGCCCUGCCAUGGCACAGCCAUCGCUACCAGGUUUUAGCCGAAGCCUGGCGUGAUUGCAGGUAAAAAAUUUCUUCCUUUGGUGGUGAUGCCUGUGAUUGUGUGUGUGUGUGUUUGCGUCUCUAUGGAAGCGGGGGGUGGAGGGGAGCGGUGGGGCUUACCCCCCCCACCCUGCCCCCCUUCUCUUUCGGAGCCUGCUUCAGCAGCAAGGCAGCUGAAACAGAACUGCUGGAGGGAAGAGAAACUAUCCGUGAUGAAUCAUUUGGCUUUGUGCAAUCUUUACCUAGGACAGAGGCAUCUAGGGACCUGUGGUUACCAAUCAAUUGGUACAACAGAGCAGAGCCAGGCUGCAAUAGCGUGCAGAUCAGACGCCUCGCCUUGUUUCUAGAUAACUGGGAGCCUCUGUACCAUGUCCUAUCCUCAGUUUGGCUACCCUUACUCCUCUGCACCCCAGGUAAGACUUUUUGCCUACCAACGUUAAUUGAUUAAAUUUCAGUCCUUAUCGAUGCCUUCCGUCCGGGAUGAGGGCGGCAGCGAUCCUCUCCCGCAUGCGGUAGCUGUAUAGCAGAUGCUCUCUCCGCAGCUUUACAAGACUCCCAAGUUAUCUGUCGGGCACCAGUUUUAAAAUGGGAUGAAACACGCGGGAUUUAGGGUGUUUGGGGGUGAUAAAGACUCGUGGGAGAUGAUUACAGAGAUGAGAGAGGUGAGAAGGGGAGCUGGAGAUCCCCAACUCCCACCCGCACCUCCCCCCCCCCUUUUUUUUUUCUCUUUCACUAUUAAAUUCACAGUUUAUCAAUUAAACAUGGAUGUACACAGGUCCGGCCCGUAGAAAAAGAAUGGGACAUUCUAAACCAGCAGGUUAAUAACAGAUGCGUGCGUGGCUGUUACAAAUCUGCAGUCAAAAUAAAUAUGCAUGAAUGACUUCGAAAAAAAGGGUU
Serinus canaria (Common canary) is the source of this 1597-nucleotide long non-coding RNA. Lineage: Eukaryota; Metazoa; Chordata; Aves; Passeriformes; Fringillidae. The record is from Ensembl.